RNAcentral lists this unclassified non-coding RNA (367 nucleotides) under uncultured Solirubrobacterales bacterium. RNAcentral's name for it is "contains 16S-23S intergenic spacer region". Lineage: Bacteria; Bacillati; Actinomycetota; Thermoleophilia; Solirubrobacterales. The record is from RNAcentral.
UCCGGUUUGUCACCGGCAGUCUCCCAUGAGUCCCCAACUGAAUGCUGGCAACAUGGAACGGGGGUUGCGCUCGUUGCGGGACUUAACCCAACAUCUCACGACACGAGCUGACGACAGCCAUGCACCACCUGUGAUGGUGUCCCGAAGGAAAACCGUGUUUCCACGGCGGUCACCAACAUGUCAAGUCCAGGUAAGGUUCUUCGCGUUGCGUCGAAUUAAACCACAUGCUCCGCUGCUUGUGCGGGCCCCCGUCAAUUCCUUUGAGUUUCAGGCUUGCGCCCGUACUCCCCAGGUGGGAUACUUAUCACUUUCGCUUAGCCACUCAGGUUGCCAACGGCUAGCAUCCAUCGUUUACGGCGUGGACUAC